CACAAAUAUGCUGAUCACACAAGCAACGGCAUUCUGGCUUUUUACCAGUAAGAGACCAUUCACAGAUCAGAAUCAAAAUACCGGUAAAUCCUGUGAUGUCUGUAAAUGGUAGGGCUUGCAUAGACUAGUCGAGGUUUCAUGUCUUUUCAUUUACAGUAGCAUGAACCACGAGUAGUUGAGUAACUCGAGUAUUUUUUAAAUAAGAAAUCGUCUAGCAGAAAUCAGUAGUCGUGCAACCCCUAGUAAACGGAAACGAUCUUUAAAUGUUGCUCCAUUGUCUUCAUUCCCCCGCAUGAGUAGAAGCGCUUUAGUUUCACUAUCUGUCUAAUUUGACAACAUUUUGAGUGACUUUUGAAGCCUGUGCAUGCUCUUAUAAACACCUGAUGCGCAUAAUAGUAGCCUAUCCAACUGCAGGGUGACCGUGAUUUCACCAAGUACAACAUGUUCCUGGAUCAACAUCCUUGAUGAUCCUGGAACAACAUUCCUAUCAACCAGAAUUGAGGGAUAACUUUUCAGGAAGUAUCUGUUUUAGCCUUAUGAUUGGGGUUAGGUGCUUCUACUCCCUUCUUAAUCAGCUAUCAUUUCACACUGAUUUUAGGAAAAAAAAUAUGGGUAGGGUUAGGUUUUGGGGUAGCGAUUGGGUUAAGUCUAUAUUUUUGGACAGUAAUGUUGAUCCAGGAUCAACAAAAGAUGUGCAGGAACAUGUCUUACUUGGCAAAAUCACGGCGACCCCAACUGCAGAGCCACAGCGCUGAUGAAUGAUAAAGAAGGCUGGGUCUCGAGUGGGACAACGGUCAAAGCUGUCCAUCUAGCACAUAAUAAAAUGAAUAAAAAGCACACUUUGUAGAAAGACAAAUAAAUAAAUAAAUAAAUAAAUAAAUAAAUGCCUUCACAAAAAAGAAGACAGAGAGAGAAAGAGCGAGAGGAGGCUUCUAAAGGCAGUUCAACAUUGCAAACAUGAAUACAAAGCUCCAGCAAGCCAGCAGGUAAAUCAUCAUAUACAAUAUUUAGCAGUUUGUCACACUUUAAUUCUUGUAAUUAGGUAUAUUUCCCAUUAUAACCACUUGUCUUGAUACUAGUAAUCUUUAACACAUCAUAUUUUAUUAAAACCAUAUUAUAGUAAGCCUAUAGUAG
Cyprinus carpio carpio is the source of this 1134-nucleotide long non-coding RNA. The record is from Ensembl. NCBI's taxonomy places the organism in Eukaryota, Metazoa, Chordata, Actinopteri, Cypriniformes, Cyprinidae.